RNAcentral lists this ribosomal RNA (392 nucleotides) under uncultured Gammaproteobacteria bacterium. RNAcentral describes it as "bacterial SSU rRNA". It matches the Rfam family "Bacterial small subunit ribosomal RNA", at positions 370 to 779 of the family's 1533-position model. Lineage: Bacteria; Pseudomonadati; Pseudomonadota; Gammaproteobacteria. The record is from RNAcentral.
AAUGGGCGCAAGCCUGAUCUAGCCAUGCCGCGUGAGUGAUGAAGGCCUUAGGGUCGUAAAGCUCUUUCGCCAGGGAUGAUAAUGACAGUACCUGGUAAAGAAACCCCGGCUAACUCCGUGCCAGCAGCCGCGGUAAUACGGAGGGGGUUAGCGUUGUUCGGAAUUACUGGGCGUAAAGCGUACGUAGGCGGAUUAGAAAGUUGGGGGUGAAAUCCCGGGGCUCAACCCCGGAACUGCCUCCAAAACUACUAGUCUAGAGUUCGAGAGAGGUGAGUGGAACUCCGAGUGUAGAGGUGAAAUUCGUAGAUAUUCGGAAGAACACCAGUGGCGAGGGCGGCUCACUGGCUCGAUACUGACGCUGAGGUACGAAAGUGUGGGGAGCAAACAGGAUU